Long non-coding RNA from Misgurnus anguillicaudatus (oriental weatherfish), 221 nucleotides. RefSeq lists it as uncharacterized. The record is from RefSeq and is a predicted model, not a curated record. Lineage: Eukaryota; Metazoa; Chordata; Actinopteri; Cypriniformes; Cobitidae.
CCACGGGGAUCCAGGAACAGCGUGAUGAUUCCCAACAGAACGGAUUUGUCACUCGAACAAUUCAAUUCCGGGCUACGCAAAUUUUGUGAUUUCUGGACCGGUCUCGGCACAUACAAGGACGGCUGAAAGAGGUGAGGAGAGACGUUCAGAAGAGCACGGGAGGCCCCGCUGAACAAUGGGACGCCACUGCAACAAUGAAACAGAUUUGAGACUCACAGAGC